RNAcentral lists this ribosomal RNA (474 nucleotides) under uncultured bacterium. RNAcentral's name for it is "bacterial SSU rRNA". It matches the Rfam family "Bacterial small subunit ribosomal RNA", at positions 25 to 518 of the family's 1533-position model. The record is from RNAcentral.
CAGGAUGAACGCUGGCGGCGUGCCUAAUACAUGCAAGUCGAACGAGGUAGCAAUACCGAGUGGCGAACGGGUGAGUAACACGUAGGUAACCUGCCCUUAAGCUUGGGAUACCCAGAGGAAACUUUGGCUAAUACCGGAUAACAACAGAGAAGGCAUCUUCUUUGCUUGAAAGGCCCCUUCAAGGGUCACUUAAGGAUGGACCUGCGGCGCAUUAGCUAGUUGGUGAGAUAACAGCCCACCAAGGCGACGAUCAGUAGCCGACCUGAGAGGGUAAUCGGCCACAUUGGAACUGAGACACGGUCCAAACUCCUACGGGAGGCAGCAGUGGGGAAUAUUGCACAAUGGGCGCAAGCCUGAUGCAAGCAACGCCGCGUGAGUGAAGAAGGUCUUCGGAUCGUAAAGCUCUGUCCUCAGGGACGAAGAAGUGACGGUACCUGAGGAGGAAGCCCCGGCUAACUACGUGCCAGCCGCUGC